Molecule: ribosomal RNA, 449 nt
Filed under: uncultured bacterium
Lineage: Bacteria
Description: bacterial SSU rRNA
Rfam family: Bacterial small subunit ribosomal RNA
Source: RNAcentral
UACGGAAGGCAGCAGUGGGGAAUAUUGCACAAUGGGCGCAAGCCUGAUGCAGCCAUGCCGCAUGUAUGAAGAAGGCCUUCGGGUUGUAAAGUACUUUCAGUCGUGAGGAAGGUGUUAAGGUUAAUAACCUUAGCAAUUGACGUUAGCGACAGAAGAAGCACCGGCUAACUCCGUGCCAGCAGCCGCGGUAAUACGGAGGGUGCGAGCGUUAAUCGGAAUUACUGGGCUAAAGGGCACGCAGGCGGUUAAUAAGUUGGAUGUGAAUCCCCGGGCUUAACCUGGGAAUGGCAUUCAAGACUGGUUAGCUAGAGUCUUGUAGAGGGGGUAGAAUUCCAUGUGUAGCGGUGAAAUGCGUAGAGAUGUGGAGGAAUACCGGUGGCGAAGGCGGCCCCUGGACAAGACUGACGCUCAUGUGCGAAAGCGUGGGGAGCGAAACAGGAUUAGAUACC